UCCUACGGGAGGCAGCAGUAGGGAAUCCUCCGCAAUGGACGAAAGGCGACGGAGCAACGACGCGUGAACGAAGAAGGCCUUCGGGUCGUAAAGUUGGGUUGUUAGGGAAGAACAAGUACCGUUCGAAUAGGGCGGUACCUUGACAGUCCCUAACCCGAAAGCCACGGCUAACUACGUGCCAGCAGCCGCGGUA
Molecule: ribosomal RNA, 193 nt
Filed under: uncultured bacterium
Lineage: Bacteria
Description: partial 16S ribosomal RNA
Rfam family: Bacterial small subunit ribosomal RNA
Source: RNAcentral